CAGUCUGCAACUCGACUGCAUGAAGUCGGAAUCGCUAGUAAUCGCGGAUCAGCAUGCCGCGGUGAAUACGUUCCCGGGCCUUGUACACACCGCCCGUCACACCAUGAGAGUCGGGAACACCCGAAGUCCGUAGCCUAACCGCAAGGGGGCGCGGCCGAAGGUGGGUUCGAUAAUUGGGGUGAAGUCGUAACAAGGUAGC
This 199-nucleotide ribosomal RNA is filed under the name uncultured bacterium. Its description in RNAcentral is "partial 16S ribosomal RNA". It matches the Rfam family "Bacterial small subunit ribosomal RNA", at positions 1301 to 1500 of the family's 1533-position model. The record is from RNAcentral.